GCUUCCUUAGCUCAGUUGGUAGAGCAACUGACUCUUAAUCAGUGGGUCGGGGGUUCGAGUCCCCCAGGGAGCA
This 73-nucleotide transfer RNA is filed under the name Bacteroidota bacterium. RNAcentral describes it as "tRNA-Lys". It matches the Rfam family "tRNA". From Rfam's summary of the family: Transfer RNA (tRNA) molecules are approximately 80 nucleotides in length. Their secondary structure includes four short double-helical elements and three loops (D, anti-codon, and T loops). Lineage: Bacteria; Pseudomonadati; Bacteroidota. RNAcentral also lists the same sequence under 4 other names. The record is from RNAcentral.